RNAcentral lists this long non-coding RNA (1092 nucleotides) under Callithrix jacchus (white-tufted-ear marmoset). RNAcentral's name for it is "lncRNA (ENSCJAG00000081423.1)". Lineage: Eukaryota; Metazoa; Chordata; Mammalia; Primates; Cebidae. The record is from RNAcentral.
UCUACCCUUUUUUCAAGGUUCUUAGCUCCUUUGCAUUGGGUUAGAACAUGGUCUUUUAACUCAGAGAAGUUUGUCAUUACCCACCUUCUGAAGACUGCUUCUGUCAAUUCGUCAGAUUCAUUCUGUUUUUUCUUUUUGUUCCCUUGGUGGUGAGGAGUUUUGAUCCCUGGGAGGAGAAGAGGUGUUCUGUUCUUUGGUGGUUUCAUCCUUUUUGCGCUGUUUUUUCCCCAACUUUGUGAAUUUAUCUCCCUUUAAUCUUUGAAGUUGGUGAUUUCAGGAGGAGUCUCUGAGUGGACGUUUUUUUCUGUUGAGGUUGGAGCUAUAUCUUUUUUGGCCUGUAGAGGGCGUUGCUGGGCUCUCCCGGGUUCAGUCAGGUUGUUGGGUGGGUGGCCCUUCCCUGGAGUUUGUUUGCAGGUGAGAUUGGCUCCGCCUCCCAAUGACGUCUCUCCCAGAGCUCGAUCUUUCUGGUUGGGGUCAAGCUGUUGUAUUUGCUGCCCAGCUCUCUAGCAAGGGUUUCAGUUUGAGUUCUGUGGAGGUGGGGCCUGUCAGGCCUUAAGGUCUGUUUCCCUGCUUUCAACUCUGCCUCCCUCUGUGGGACGGUCUGUCCCGCUGGCGUUAGUCCAAACUACCCCCCAGGUCCCUGCGACAACAUGCUAGGCCGGCAGUAGCCGCUGCUCAGAUUUGCAUCGACUACCCACAGUGCCCCACCGUCUGGCAGGGAUCUCGUGGGCCGUGGGUUGCAGGAGGGAUGAGAGGCGCCUCGGCACGUGUGCAGCGACACCUGGCGGUGGCACUUGGAACUGCGGACGGUUGCAAAGGAGCGGACAGCUGAGAGGUGGUGCCGGCGAUGCGGGCCAGCGCGGGCUGGGCCAGGGAGACGCAGGUGGCAGGGACCGAGGGCUGCGUCCCACAGCAGCUUCCAGGACCUGGAGAAAAAUCGGUGGGUGUAUGAACGUGGAUGGCAAAAAUAACAUCUUUUGUACUCUAAUUGGAACGUAGGACGUCCUUUAAUUAUGGGCGCAAUGAACUGCAGUAGCACUAAUCAUUUCAGAGAUCGCGCAAUCUUGCUUUCCCUCCUUAGUACUCUGAAAU